RNAcentral lists this ribosomal RNA (408 nucleotides) under uncultured bacterium. Its description in RNAcentral is "partial 16S ribosomal RNA". It matches the Rfam family "Bacterial small subunit ribosomal RNA", at positions 28 to 526 of the family's 1533-position model. The record is from RNAcentral.
GACGAACGCUGGCGGCGUGCUUAACACAUGCAAGUCGAACGAAGUGGCGAACGGGUGAGUAACGCGUAAUCAACCUGCCCUUCAGAGGGGGACAACAGUUGGAAACGACUGCUAAUACCGCAUACUGCAGUAGGGGAUUGCGUCUGAUUAGUUAGUUGGAGGGGUAACGGCCCACCGAGGCGAUGAUCAGUAGCCGGUCUGAGAGGAGGAACGGCCACAUUGGGACUGAGACACGGCCCAGACGCCUACGGGAGGCAGCAGUGGGGAGGCGUCCGCAAUGGACGAAAGUCUGACGGAGCAACGCCGCGUGAGUGAUGACGGCCUUCGGGUUGUAAAGCUCUGUUAAUCGGGACGCGGUACCGGAAUAGAAAGCCACGGCUAACUACGGGCCAGCCGCCGCGGUAAUAC